This 147-nucleotide unclassified non-coding RNA is filed under the name Streptomyces sp. KY70. RNAcentral also lists the same sequence under 1 other name. The record is from RNAcentral. Lineage: Bacteria; Bacillati; Actinomycetota; Actinomycetes; Kitasatosporales; Streptomycetaceae.
UAAGAGGGAACCCGGUGGGAAUCCGGGACUGCCCCGCAGCGGUGAGCGGGAACGACCGCCGUCAUACGCACUGGGCCCGGCCGGGUCUGGGAAGCGACGGCCAGUAGGUGUCUGCCUCGGCAGACGUGCCCGCGAGUCCGAAGACCU